RNAcentral lists this ribosomal RNA (47 nucleotides) under Schistosoma bovis. RNAcentral's name for it is "partial 12S ribosomal RNA". Lineage: Eukaryota; Metazoa; Platyhelminthes; Trematoda; Strigeidida; Schistosomatidae. The record is from RNAcentral.
UUUCUAUUUGACCCUGGUAGGAUUUAAAAGCGGGACUAGUAAAGCUA